RNAcentral lists this transfer RNA (67 nucleotides) under Pinctada maxima (silver-lipped pearl oyster). RNAcentral's name for it is "tRNA-His". Lineage: Eukaryota; Metazoa; Mollusca; Bivalvia; Pterioida; Pteriidae. The record is from RNAcentral.
AUCCGUUUAGUUUAAUAUAGAAAAUGCCUAUUUGUGGUGUAGGUGAUGGGGGUAAGUCCAGCGGUUA